CGGGCGCGGGGCGGCCGACUCCCCCGCCCCAGGGUGUUCCCGCCGCUGUUGCCUUGUAUGGUCCGAGGCGCCGCAGUACCCGGGCCCCGCCCGACGCGGCCCCGACCCACAGUCGGGCCUAGCGGGCCCGACCCUACCCCGGCCCCUCCUUGGGGCGCGAGCCUCUAGCUUCCCAAGGACCCCAAAAAAGGGCCGAGAUCCCGCAAUGCCGGACUUCUAGAGUCCCGACGGGCCAAGGACUCUGCAGUUCCGAGGUUCUGGGGGCCCGGAAAGCCAGAAUGCUGCGUUUUGCUGCCCUGUGAACGACCCGGCCGGGUGACGUCACUUCCUGCCAGGUAAGCGCCGCGGGCGGCUCGGUCUGCGCGGGGGCUUUGGAGAGCGAUCGGUCUCCCGCACCUUAUCCCGCUCUGAGAGCCCACGUUCACCCUCCCUCCCGCUCUUCAACUGCUUCUAGACCGCGGAAAACCCGGGAUUCCAGUUUACACACAGAUUCCUUUUAUUUAAAAAUUCCAAAAACACAAAAAUAAACUUUCAACAAUAUAUUA
This is a long non-coding RNA of Lutra lutra (Eurasian river otter), 545 nucleotides long. RefSeq lists it as uncharacterized. The record is from RefSeq and is a predicted model, not a curated record. The transcript has 2 exons. Lineage: Eukaryota; Metazoa; Chordata; Mammalia; Carnivora; Mustelidae.